This 584-nucleotide long non-coding RNA is filed under the name Trifolium pratense (red clover). RNAcentral's name for it is "long non-coding RNA (TPRA_LNC004652)". Lineage: Eukaryota; Viridiplantae; Streptophyta; Magnoliopsida; Fabales; Fabaceae. The record is from RNAcentral.
GUCCAAAAUUUUAGCCAAGGUUGACUGUGGCUAAACUCCUUCGACUGUGGCUCUAAACCACAUGAUUUUAUCAUCUCCUUCCUUCAAUCAUAUUCAAACCAUGGCUUUUUCCAGCCAAAAUAAGAACCUAAAUGCAGGUUUCCUAUCAUGUUUGAACCUAUGCAGCACAUCCACAACCAAAGCAUGUCACCAUAACAUAACCCCAAAUUUAUUUAUUUUUAUGAUAAUACAUAACCCCCAAAUUCAUCAAUCACCUUGCAUACCCUUUCAAUCUCCUCUGUUAUCUGCACAUAGCUCACCACUACAAUCACCCUCCUCCACUCCCUCAAUAUUAGAUAUAGCCCCAUUAACAUAUUACCAAAUUCCCUACAAAUUAUCCCAAAACAUAAACUUUCCUUUGAAACUAUAAAAUUGUAACCGAGAAAAACUACGCAAAUGGAACCAAGUUGAAAUCUAUUCAAUGUUGUAAUUCACCCAUAUAAAAAACUGCUCUGCCUAGCAUGGGAAUCACAUUUAUCAUUAUCAAAUCAAUAUUAAAAUCAAUAAGAUUCAAUUUUAUCCCGACAUGAAUGAUUCAAUUUUAU